GAGAAACACUUGAGUCCAUGUGAUGCGUCAAGAAAGAAGGCUUUGAAGUAUAAAUCAGGUCAUAAAUAAUCAAAUUCAUAUUGUUACUGGCUUUUGAAUAAUUAAGGGAUUUUAGAACUGUGUGAUCCAAAGCAAAAGUCCACAGAAAUGAUCUGCCAAUUCAGAGGGGCUGGUCUUCCCAGGGAAACUUACCCCUACUAUUUUUUUUUCCCUUUCUUUGAAAGAAGGGAAAUAGAUUUGCUAUGCAAAGACAUACUGACAGAAUAGUAGAUCCAGGAG
This 279-nucleotide long non-coding RNA is filed under the name Mus spicilegus (steppe mouse). RNAcentral's name for it is "lncRNA (ENSMSIG00000027099.1)". The record is from RNAcentral. Lineage: Eukaryota; Metazoa; Chordata; Mammalia; Rodentia; Muridae.